GACGAACGCUGGCGGCGGGCUUAACACAUGCAAGUCGAACGGAAAGGCCCUGCUUUUGUGGGGUGCUCGAGUGGCGAACGGGUGAGUAACACGUGAGUAACCUGCCCUUGACUUUGGGAUAACUUCAGGAAACUGGGGCUAAUACCGUAUAGGAGCUCCUGCUGCAUGGAGGGGGUUGGAAAGUUGCGGCCGGUGGGGAUGGACUCGCGGCUUAUCAGCUUGUUGGUGGGGUAGUGGCUUACCAAGGCUGUGACGGGUAGCCGGCCUGAGAGGGUGACCGGCCACAUUGGGACUGAGAUACGGCGCAGACUCCUACGGGAGGCAGCAGUGGGGAAUAUUGCACAAUGGGAGGAAGCCUGAGGCAGAAACGCCGCGUGCGGGAUGACGGCCUUCGGGUUGUAAACCGCUUUCGCCUGUGACGAAGCGUGAGUGACGGUAAUGGGUAAAGAAGCACCGGCUAACUACGUG
This 468-nucleotide ribosomal RNA is filed under the name uncultured bacterium. RNAcentral describes it as "partial 16S ribosomal RNA". It matches the Rfam family "Bacterial small subunit ribosomal RNA", at positions 28 to 507 of the family's 1533-position model. The record is from RNAcentral.